This 440-nucleotide ribosomal RNA is filed under the name Fusobacteria bacterium oral taxon 220. RNAcentral describes it as "bacterial SSU rRNA". It matches the Rfam family "Bacterial small subunit ribosomal RNA", at positions 28 to 482 of the family's 1533-position model. The record is from RNAcentral. Lineage: Bacteria; Fusobacteriati; Fusobacteriota.
GAUGAACGCUGACAGAAUGCUUAACACAUGCAAGUCUACUUGAAUUUGGGUUUUUAACUUAGGUUUGGGUGGCGGACGGGUGAGUAACGCGUAAAGAACUUGCCUCACAGCUAGGGACAACAUUUAGAAAUGAAUGCUAAUACCUAAUAUUAUGAUAAUAGGGCAUCCUAUAAUUAUGAAAGCUAUAUGCGCUGUGAGAGAGCUUUGCGUCCUAUUAGCUAGUUGGUAAGGUAAAGGCUUACCAAGGCGAUGAUAGGUAGCCGGCCUGAGAGGGUGGACGGCCACAAGGGGACUGAGAUACGGCCCUUACUCCUACGGGAGGCAGCAGUGGGGAAUAUUGGACAAUGGAGGAAACUCUGAUCCAGCAAUUCUGUGUGUGUGAAGAAGGUCUUCGGAUUGUAAAACACUUUUAGUUGGGAAGAAACAAUGACGGUACCAAC